RNAcentral lists this ribosomal RNA (839 nucleotides) under Bacillus subtilis. RNAcentral's name for it is "bacterial SSU rRNA". It matches the Rfam family "Bacterial small subunit ribosomal RNA", at positions 385 to 1208 of the family's 1533-position model. Lineage: Bacteria; Bacillati; Bacillota; Bacilli; Caryophanales; Bacillaceae. The record is from RNAcentral.
GACGGCAGCACGCCGCGUGAGUGGAUGAAGGUUUUCGGAUCGUAAAGCUCUGUUGUUAGGGAAGAACAAGUACCGUUCGAAUAGGGCGGUACCUUGACGGUACCUAACCAGAAAGCCACGGCUAACUACGUGCCAGCAGCCGCGGUAAUACGUAGGUGGCAAGCGUUGUCCGGAAUUAUUGGGCGUAAAGGGCUCGCAGGCGGUUUCUUAAAUCUGAUGUGAAAGCCCCCGGCUCAACCGGGGAGGGUCAUUGGAAACUGGGGAACUUGAGUGCAGAAAAGGAGAGUGAAAUUCCACGUGUAGCGGUGAAAUGCGUAAAGAUGUGGAGGAACACCAGUGGCGAAGGCGACUCUCUGGUCUGUAACUGACGCUGAGGAGCAAAAGCGUGGGGAGCGAACAGGAUUAAAUACCCUGGUAGUCCACGCCGUAAACGAUGAGUGCUAAGUGUUAGGGGGUUUCCGCCCCUUAGUGCUGCAGCUAACGCAUUAAGCACUCCGCCUGGGGAGUACGGUCGCAAGACUGAAACUCAAAGGAAUUGACGGGGGCCCGCACAAGCGGUGGAGCAUGUGGUUUAAUUCGAAGCAACGCGAAGAACCUUACCAGGUCUUGACAUCCUCUGACAAUCCUAGAGAUAGGACGUCCCCUUCGGGAGCAGAGUGACAGGUGGUGCAUGGUUGUCGUCAGCUCGUGUCGUGAGAUGUUGGGUUAAGUCCCGCAACGAGCGCAACCCUUGAUCUUAGUUGCCAGCAUUCAGUUGGGCACUCUAAGGUGACUGCCGGUGACAAACCGAGAGGGAAGGGUGGGAGAUGACGUCAUAUCAUCCUGCCCCCUUUAUGGAC